CCUACGGGAGGCAGCAGUGGGGAAUAUUGGACAAUGGGCGAAAGCCUGAUCCAGCCAUGCCGCGUGUGUGAAGAAGGCCUUCGGGUUGUAAAGCACUUUCAGUGGGGAAGAAAGCCUUGGGGCUAAUACCCUCGAGGAAGGACAUCACCCACAGAAGAAGCACCGGCUAACUCCGUGCCAGCAGCCGCGGUAAUACGGAGGGUGCGAGCGUUAAUCGGAAUUACUGGGCGUAAAGCGCGCGUAGGCGGUCUGAUAAGCCGGUUGUGAAAGCCCCGGGCUCAACCUGGGAACGGCAUCCGGAACUGUCAGGCUAGAGUGCAGGAGAGGAAGGUAGAAUUCCCGGGGUAGCGGUGAAAUGCGUAGAGAUCGGGAGGAAUACCAGUGGCGAAGGCGGCCUUCUGGACUGACACUGACGCUGAGGUGCGAAAGCGUGGGUAGCAAACAGGAUUAGAUACCCGAGUAGUC
RNAcentral lists this ribosomal RNA (465 nucleotides) under Vreelandella stevensii. Its description in RNAcentral is "partial 16S ribosomal RNA". It matches the Rfam family "Bacterial small subunit ribosomal RNA", at positions 338 to 795 of the family's 1533-position model. Lineage: Bacteria; Pseudomonadati; Pseudomonadota; Gammaproteobacteria; Oceanospirillales; Halomonadaceae. The record is from RNAcentral.